This is a non-coding RNA of Picea glauca (white spruce), 120 nucleotides long. NCBI's taxonomy places the organism in Eukaryota, Viridiplantae, Streptophyta, Pinopsida, Pinales, Pinaceae. The record is from Rfam.
ACAUGUGUAUAACAUAAUGUUAAUGCACCAGUCCCAUUAGAAAUCCACAGUUAAGCAUGCUCAGGCUAGAGUAGUAUUAGGAUGGGUGACUGCCCAUGAAGCCCUAGUGUUUUACAUGUC